Non-coding RNA from Acanthosepion pharaonis, 104 nucleotides. NCBI's taxonomy places the organism in Eukaryota, Metazoa, Mollusca, Cephalopoda, Sepiida, Sepiidae. The record is from the annotation of a GenBank genome assembly.
AAAUCACCUUGAAACGCCUGUUCCCGUACGAUCACCAAAGUUAAGCAACGUUGAUCCUUGUCAGUACCUAGCUGGGUAACCUCUUGGGAAUUCCAGGUACGGUA